UGCCAGCCGCCGCGGUAAUACAUAGGUCCCAAGCAUUAUCCGGAUUUACUGGGCGUAAAGAGUGCGCAGGCGAUUUAACAAGUUGGAAGUGAAAGACCAAGGCUCAACUUUGGUUUGCUUUCAAAACUGUUAGAUUAGACUAUGGGAGAGGUUAUCGGAAUUUCAGGUGUAGCGGUGGAAUGCGUAGAUAUCUGAAGGAACACCAAUAAGCGAAGGCAGAUAACUGGCCCAUUAGUGACGCUCAUGCACGAAAGCGUGGGGAGCAAACAGGAUUAGAUA
RNAcentral lists this ribosomal RNA (279 nucleotides) under uncultured bacterium. RNAcentral's name for it is "partial 16S ribosomal RNA". It matches the Rfam family "Bacterial small subunit ribosomal RNA", at positions 506 to 784 of the family's 1533-position model. The record is from RNAcentral.